AUUAGAAGCAACGAGAAGACCAUAUCAGGGCUUGACAUAUACAGGAAUAUAUAAGAGAUUAUAUAGCUCUACGGAGUCUGUAUACAGGUGGUGCAUGGUUGUCGUCAGCUCGUGUCGUGAGAUGAUGGGUUAAGUCCCGUAACGAGCGCAAAAAAAAAUGGCUAGUUGCUAACAUUAAGUUGAGGACUCUAGCAAGACUGCCGUUGUUAAAACGGAGGAAGGUGGGGACGACGUCAAAUCAUCAUGCCCUUUAUGUCCUGGGCUACACACGUACUACAAUGGGUAAGACAGAGGGAAGCGAAAGUGCGAACUGGAGCAAAACCCUAAACUUAUUCUCAGUUCGGAUUGGAGUCUGAAAUUCGGCUCCAUGAAGCUGGAAUUGCUAGUAAUGGCAUGAAAGGAUACUGCCGUGAAUACGUUCCCGGGCCUUGUACACACCGCCCGUCACACCAUGAGAGUUGGGAAUACCCGAAGCUUUAGCUAACUUUAAAGAGGCAGCAGUCGAAGGUAGACGCCUCUUUUCUGAAGUCGUAACAAGGUAUUCUAAUAG
This 550-nucleotide ribosomal RNA is filed under the name uncultured bacterium. RNAcentral's name for it is "bacterial SSU rRNA". It matches the Rfam family "Bacterial small subunit ribosomal RNA", at positions 949 to 1507 of the family's 1533-position model. The record is from RNAcentral.